RNAcentral lists this long non-coding RNA (474 nucleotides) under Dasypus novemcinctus (nine-banded armadillo). RNAcentral's name for it is "lncRNA (ENSDNOG00000052490.1)". The record is from RNAcentral. Lineage: Eukaryota; Metazoa; Chordata; Mammalia; Cingulata; Dasypodidae.
AAGGGUAGACCCCGCCUCUGACCAAGGGUAGACCCCGCCUCUGACUGCCCUUGCCCGCCCCCUUAAAUGCUGUUCCGUCCUGUGUUUUGAGUCAGUCCUCCACAACUCGACAUUGCCAGCACCUGUCGCGGGGCAGGGGGGCCUCCCCGGGCUGACCGCCGUCUGCCGCCCCUCGGGCCCGCUGCUGGAGCCCUCCUCCUCGGUUUCGCAGCACAUGGUCUCCGGGUCUCGGGCCCCCGCCCUGCCCCUGCGGGCUCCAUGCGGAAUCUCCUCCCGAGUCCUCCCGCAUCCGGGCCCGAAGCAGCUUAUCCCCGCUGGCCCCCCGCUGCGGGCACUCCCCCGCUCAGCCCCGGAGGAGGGACAGGCACGCCCCGCGGGGUCGGCGGGCCGGGACCCGGGCGGCCGAGCCAGGCACUUCGGGCUUGGAAUCUGGGUCUCUCCACUCUCACCGUCACCUCCUUGCUGACGCCGCAG